Melospiza georgiana is the source of this 1069-nucleotide long non-coding RNA. RefSeq lists it as uncharacterized. NCBI's taxonomy places the organism in Eukaryota, Metazoa, Chordata, Aves, Passeriformes, Passerellidae. The record is from RefSeq and is a predicted model, not a curated record. The transcript is spliced from 2 exons.
UCACUGCCUGAGUGAUCCAUGGAGCUGGAUCCGGCCCCUUCCCUCUUCCCAGGAAAGCUGAGAGCUGCCACCAGAGCUGAUCCUGCUGCUCCCACCCACCCCACAGGUCUUUCUAACGGAUUCAUUUCCAGUUUUCCAUUUCCCAGUGUUUUAAAGGCAAGAACCACAAAUAUUUACAAUGCUUUAAUUCUGGUGUGAAAUUAUCCUGCUUUGGGCAAUAAAUCUACUUGUGGCAAUAAAUCCUGCUUUGGGCAAUGUCCUGGAUUGUCACGCAAAUUGUACUCUAUUUACCAUCUGUAUAGCAGUUGUUUUCUGUUAAGUAGGCAGUUUUCCUUAUCUCUUCUACAACCGGGGAGAUAUCUGUUGAUAACAGGCUACUGAAUGUCACUGCCUGACUGAUAAGAACUACAGCAUCCCAGUGUGAGAUGCUCCGCCCAGAGGGGAGAGCCAAGCAUUCCUACCUGGAUAUAAUCUUGAGGUUCUGGACCACCAGCAUGGCUUUCUCCACUGCAUCCCCAGAGGAACAGCAGCUGCUUCUCCUUCCACUGGAUCUUAGAGGAAGACUGCACCUUUCUACAGGAUCCCUGCUCCAAUAGAACCACACCUGACACUCCAGGAGGACUGCAGCCACAUUUCCAAUGGGACUGCUACCAACAACCUGGCCAACAGGGUGUCAGGUUAAUAAGGUGAGGAAUUAAUGGAUUUUUAACUUCCACUGGAAGGCAAGCACAUGGAUUCAGAGCUAUCACACCCUUACUGUAUGGGCCCAUCAAUGCCUUGCCCCAUGACUCAGAGAAAACUCCCUCCAGGAGCCAUUUCUGUUUGAUGGGCAAUCAAGGACCAAUCAUGACUCAGACCGAUAUCAGCCCAUUGGGAGAUGCUCUGCCCAGUGGGGAGGAGCUCAGCAUCCCCACCUGGAUAUCAUCUGGGCUUUGGGACAGAACAGGCAGCCCUUACCCACUGGUUUCUAGAGGACAAGAGCUGCCAGAUCUUUUCUAUGGGAUCACCACAUCAACAAGACCGUUUCAUCUGGACUGCCACCACCACCCUAACUAGCAGGGUGUCCGGU